UACAGAGGUCUCAAGCGUUGUUCGGAAUUACUGGGCGUAAAGCGUGCGUAGGUGGUUCGUUAAGUCUGCCGUGAAAGCCCCGGGCUCAACCUGGGAAUGGCGGUGGAUACUGGCGGACUAGAGUGCGGUAGAGGGUGGUGGAAUUCCCGGUGUAGCAGUGAAAUGCGUAGAGAUCGGGAGGAACAUCUGUGGCGAAGGCGGCCACCUGGACCAGCACUGACACUGAGGCACGAAAGCGUGGGGAGCAAACAGG
Molecule: ribosomal RNA, 253 nt
Filed under: uncultured bacterium
Lineage: Bacteria
Description: partial 16S ribosomal RNA
Rfam family: Bacterial small subunit ribosomal RNA
Source: RNAcentral